GCGCACGUGGGAGAACUAGGCUAAACUGACUACGGAUCAGGAGGUUUCAGAUUCGAAUUCUGACGGGUGCGCCA
Molecule: transfer RNA, 74 nt
Filed under: Alphaproteobacteria bacterium
Lineage: Bacteria; Pseudomonadati; Pseudomonadota; Alphaproteobacteria
Description: tRNA-Ser
Source: RNAcentral